AGGGGUGUAGUUUAAUGGCAGAAUAGCGGUCUCCAAAACCGGUGAUGGGAGUUCGAUUCUCUCCACCCCUGCCA
Molecule: transfer RNA, 74 nt
Filed under: Bacteroidia bacterium
Lineage: Bacteria; Pseudomonadati; Bacteroidota; Bacteroidia
Description: tRNA-Trp
Rfam family: tRNA
About the family: Transfer RNA (tRNA) molecules are approximately 80 nucleotides in length. Their secondary structure includes four short double-helical elements and three loops (D, anti-codon, and T loops). Further hydrogen bonds mediate the characteristic L-shaped molecular structure. tRNAs have two regions of fundamental functional importance: the anti-codon, which is responsible for specific mRNA codon recognition, and the 3' end, to which the tRNAs corresponding amino acid is attached (by aminoacyl-tRNA synthetases). tRNAs cope with the degeneracy of the genetic code in two manners: having more than one tRNA (with a specific anti-codon) for a particular amino acid; and 'wobble' base-pairing, i.e. permitting non-standard base-pairing at the 3rd anti-codon position.
Source: RNAcentral